This is a long non-coding RNA of Nerophis ophidion (straightnose pipefish), 570 nucleotides long. RefSeq lists it as uncharacterized. The transcript is spliced from 3 exons. NCBI's taxonomy places the organism in Eukaryota, Metazoa, Chordata, Actinopteri, Syngnathiformes, Syngnathidae. The record is from RefSeq and is a predicted model, not a curated record.
GUCGGCCUGGCGUCAUCGUGAUCUUGUCUUGCUCUGUGCUGACUUUAUUCCUGCCCUGCCAUAGUUUCCUGCUUCAUGCCAUGCCAACAUAAAAGGGGAGAGGGAGGAGUAAUCGUGGCAGAAGUAGAAGGAGAGAGACAAACAACCAGACGAGCGAACAGACGAGCGAGAACCCCAGGGAGCCACGGAGCGACAAAGACCAGCACAGGAAGACUGGCGACUGAAAAGGAGACCGGCACGAGCAGAGAAGGAGGCACUGAAAUAGCGACCGCCUGACUGCGAGCGACUUUCUGUUUGCAAUAAUAAAGACUCAAACCUGUGCAAAGCGAUGUCCUCCGUUGAUGAUCCAUGCAACCCACACGAUGGCGGCAGGAAGCCGUUUAUAGUCAGCUUGAAUUUGGCCUCAACAGCCAGCAGCUUGCUGUCCACCAACAUCCGUCACACUUCCACCGCCAGGACCAACUUUGACCUCAGAGAGCGAGACUCUUGCUGGGCAAAUAAAGUAUCGGACAUGUGACUCCUGGCCUUGCAGGGUCGCCACACUCAGGUGCGCAGGUCGUCGCUGUGACG